GCGGCGUACGGGUGCGGAACACGUGUGCACUGACCUUUAUCUGGGGGAUAGCCUUUCGAAAGGAAGAUUAAUACCCCAUAAUAUGUUGAAUGGCAUCAUUCGACAUUGAAAACUCCGGUGGAUAGAGAUGGGCACGCGCAAGAUUAGAUAGUUGGUGAGGUAACGGCUCACCAAGUCUACGAUCUUUAGGGGGCCUGAGAGGGUGAUCCCCCAACUGGUACUGAGACACGGACCAGACUCCUACGGGAGGCAGCAGUGAGGAAUAUUGGACAAUGGGUGAGAGCCUGAUCCAGCCAUCCCGCGUGAAGGACGGUGCCUAUGGGUUGUAAACUUCUUUUGUAUAGGGAUAAACCUACCCUCGUGAGGGUAGCUGAAGGUACUAUACGAAUAAGCACCGGCUAACUCCGUGCCAGCAGCCGCGGUAAUACGGAGAGUGCAAGCGUCAUCCGGAUUUAUCGGGUUUAAAGGGUCCGUAGCGGAUCUGUAAGUCAGUGGUGAAAUCUCACAGGUUUAACUGUGAAACUGCAUUGAUACUGCAGGUCUUGAAGUGUGUGAAGUAGCUGGAUUAAGUAGUGCAGCGGUGGAAAUGGCUUAGGAUUU
This 600-nucleotide ribosomal RNA is filed under the name uncultured bacterium. RNAcentral's name for it is "bacterial SSU rRNA". It matches the Rfam family "Bacterial small subunit ribosomal RNA", at positions 95 to 698 of the family's 1533-position model. The record is from RNAcentral.